This 492-nucleotide ribosomal RNA is filed under the name uncultured bacterium. Its description in RNAcentral is "partial 16S ribosomal RNA". It matches the Rfam family "Bacterial small subunit ribosomal RNA", at positions 29 to 507 of the family's 1533-position model. The record is from RNAcentral.
AGUGAACGCUGGCGGUAGGCCUAACACAUGCAAGUCGAACGGCAGCACAGUAAGAGCUUGCUCUUACGGGUGGCGAGUGGCGGACGGGUGAGGAAUACAUCGGAAUCUACUUUUUCGUGGGGGAUAACGUAGGGAAACUUACGCUAAUACCGCAUACGACCUACGGGUGAAAGCAGGGGAUCUUCGGACCUUGCGCGAUUGAAUGAGCCGAUGUCGGAUUAGCUAGUUGGCGGGGUAAAGGCCCACCAAGGCGACGAUCCGUAGCUGGUCUGAGAGGAUUAUCAGCCCCAAUUGAACUGGAACACGGUCCCAACUCCUACGGGAGGCAGCAGUGGGGAAUAUUGGACAAUGGGCGCAAGCCUGAUCCAGCCAUACCGCGUGGGUGAAGAAGGCCUUCGGGUUGUAAAGCCCUUUUGUUGGGAAAGAAAAGCAGCAGGUUAAUACCCCGCUGUUCUGACGGUACCCAAAUAAUAAGCACCGGCUAACUUCGUG